AUGAUUCCCCCUUGUCAGCUGCUCUGGCUCUUGGUGCUCUGGGCUCAGGGUUCCAGUGGGGCCAUUGUGCUGACCCAGUCUCCAGGCUCCUUGUCCAGAUCUCCAGGAGAGACAGUCACCAUCAGUUGCAAGGCCAGUGAGAGCCUUAGCCAUAAGACAGUUUUUACUACAUAUGAACUCUUAAACUGGUACCAGCAGAAACCUGGCCAAGCCCCCAGGCUCCUCAUCUAUGAUGCUACCAGUCUGGCAUCUGGCAUUCCUGCCCGGUUCAGUGGCAGUGGGUCUGGGAGAGAUUUCACUCUCACCAUCAGCAGCCUGGAGCCUGAGGAUGCUGGAGAUUAUUACUGUCAGCAGUUUGAGAGCUUCCCUUUCCCACAGUGCUUCAGCCCUGAACAAAAACCUCCUCAGGCUGUUCAGGGGAUUCAUCGCAGAGUAGCACCUGCUUCCCCUCUGGUCCCCAGGGCAGAGCAGCCCUUGCUCUCUAGGUAG
Molecule: non-coding RNA, 489 nt
Organism: Trichosurus vulpecula (common brushtail)
Lineage: Eukaryota; Metazoa; Chordata; Mammalia; Diprotodontia; Phalangeridae
Source: the annotation of a RefSeq genome assembly